UUUUUUUUUUCGCUCAGGACGAACGCUGGCGGCGUGCCUAAUACAUGCAAGUCGAGCGGACAGAUGGGAGCUUGCUCCCUGAUGUUAGCGGCGGACGGGUGAGUAACACGUGGGUAACCUGCCUGUAAGACUGGGAUAACUCCGGGAAACCGGGGCUAAUACCGGAUGGUUGUUUGAACCGCAUGGUUCAGACAUAAAAGGUGGCUUCGGCUACCACUUACAGAUGGACCCGCGGCGCAUUAGCUAGUUGGUGAGGUAACGGCUCACCAAGGCGACGAUGCGUAGCCGACCUGAGAGGGUGAUCGGCCACACUGGGACUGAGACACGGCCCAGACUCCUACGGGAGGCAGCAGUAGGGAAUCUUCCGCAAUGGACGAAAGUCUGACGGAGCAACGCCGCGUGAGUGAUGAAGGUUUUCGGAUCGUAAAGCUCUGUUGUUAGGGAAGAACAAGUGCCGUUCAAAUAGGGCGGCACCUUGACGGUACCUAACCAGAAAGCCACGGCUAACUACGUGCCAGCAGCCGCGGUAAUACGUAGGUGGCAAGCGUKKUYCGGAAUUAUUGGGCGUWAAGGGCUCGCAGGCGGUUUCUUAAGUCUGAUGUGAAAGCCCCCGGCUCAACCGGGGAGGGUCAUUGGAAACUGGGGAACUUGAGUGCAGAAGAGGAGAGUGGAAUUCCACGUGUAGCGGUGAAAUGCGUAGAGAUGUGGAGGAACACCAGUGGCGAAGGCGACUCUCUGGUCUGUAACUGACGCUGARGAGCGAAAGCGYGGGGAGCGAACAGGAUUAGAUACCCUGGUAGUCCACGCCGUAAACGAUGAGUGCUAAGUGUUAGGGGGUUUCCGCCCCUUAGUGCUGCAGCUAACGCAUUAAGCACUCCGCCUGGGGAGUACGGUCGCAAGACUGAAACUCAAAGGAAUUGACGGGGGCCCGCACAAGCGGUGGAGCAUGUGGUUUAAUUCGAAGCAACGCGAAGAACCUUACCAGGUCUUGACAUCCUCUGACAAUCCUAGAGAUAGGACGUCCCCUUCGGGGGCAGAGUGACAGGUGGUGCAUGGUUGUCGUCAGCUCGUGUCGUGAGAUGUUGGGUUAAGUCCCGCAACGAGCGCAACCCUUGAUCUUAGUUGCCAGCAUUCAGUUGGGCACUCUAAGGUGACUGCCGGUGACAAACCGGAGGAAGGUGGGGAUGACGUCAAAUCAUCAUGCCCCUUAUGACCUGGGCUACACACGUGCUACAAUGGACAGAACAAAGGGCAGCGAAACCGCGAGGUUAAGCCAAUCCCACAAAUCUGUUCUCAGUUCGGAUCGCAGUCUGCAACUCGACUGCGUGAAGCUGGAAUCGCUAGUAAUCGCGGAUCAGCAUGCCGCGGUUGAAUACGUUCCCGGGCCUUGUACACACCGCCCGUCACACCACGAGAGUUUGUAACACCCGAAGUCGGUGAGGUAACCUUUAUGGAGCCANCCCCCAAAGUGGGACAGAUGAUUG
RNAcentral lists this ribosomal RNA (1484 nucleotides) under Bacillus sp. D1-2. RNAcentral describes it as "bacterial SSU rRNA". It matches the Rfam family "Bacterial small subunit ribosomal RNA". Lineage: Bacteria; Bacillati; Bacillota; Bacilli; Caryophanales; Bacillaceae. The record is from RNAcentral.